UAGAAAACAAGGGACUAAAUGUCAGGCUGAAAAUUUGCGCAACUAGAAGUCUAACUUUUGUAACUUGGGUGAACCAAAAUAUAAUUUUUCCCAAAGCUUUUCUCACACGCAAAGCUUGAAGACUUUCGUAGCUCUUCCGAGACACUGCACAACUGAUAGCAAUUAGGCCCAAAAAUAACUGACUCGACAAUUCUUCCCAACGAAGUCGAACAUAUGAUUUUCAAAAAGAGUCCAACAUAUAGCUUUCUAAAAACAAAGUCCAACAUAGCUCCUCCCAAUCUAGUUCGCUCCAUAUGCUACUACUACCCGCCAAGCGGGACAUGAGGAAGGCCGUCCAGUCCAUCAUCUUCAACGGGAACUCCCUGGUAAAAAUCAACGCGUGAUAAUCCCCCUCACGGCCUCACCCCAGUUUGGAGAUCAACAACGUGCACCCGCUAACUUCACUCACGCAUAUACGUCUUGUCUCCGGCCAUUGGGUCGUUGCACGGCGAAGAAUUGAAGCCAAGGACGGGCGGCGCACGCCCUCCGGCUAGCGGCGGAGGUGGAACGAAGGGUCGCCAAUGAUGCGGUGCCAUCGCUUGCACGUCACCGCGCAGCGGAAGAGGUCCGGGACGCCCGGCACGCGCAGCAGGAUCUCGACGACGACCUCGUCCGGCCGGCUCGCGACGUGAGGAUCGACGUACGUACGGUUCGACGUGGGAUUUGGAGGCAAGCGCAGGUUGGAUCGGAGUAUAUCUCUCCCUCUCUCGCUAAUUAAUAAUAAAGCACGGAGUGAGCCUGUCGGUUCACCGUCGCGACCUUUUUGCAAAUAGACCCUCCUAUUUUCUAGACAUUGCACCCGCAGUCCCCUCAUAAGUCAGACCCGAACCGGCACAGAGGAGAAAAGAAGAAAAAAAAGCCCAGCGCCCCGCACGAUCCUGCCUCCUCGAUCCCAUCUCCACCUCCAUCCCGCCGCCACCUCCUGCCCCGCGCCGCCUCGACCGGGACCGCGCCCCUCCCCAAACGACGACGAUGAUGGAGGGCGGCGCCCAGCACCUGGCCGACAGAUUCGCCGGCUCCCCGCUCCUCGGGGCCAGCCCCUCCCCCGUGCCAGGUCGAGCAUCGGCUUGGAGGCCCACACACGAGCACGGGUUCGCUCGAUCCGUCCGGGUAGGGCGCCGCCGGCGGUCUUCUUCUCCGGCCAUCCGUCGUCGGCGGCCGUUCUUCCUGCUCCCGUGCCUCUGAUUUGGAUCGAGGUCGCGGUGGUAGUGGUUCGGCGGCGGUGGCGGCGUUGGGAGCAGCGGCGGCGGGUGGUGGGGUCCGGCAGCGGGUGCAAGGGCUAUGGCGCGGUGAUGGGGAGCUGCAGAUCUGUGUCCAUGGCCGGACCACCGCGGACAGGGGUUUCUUCCCGGAUUGUUGAUGAAUAUACUUGGGGAUUCAUGAUUCUUGCAUCCCAUGAUGUGACGCGAGAUUCGUUGGGAUUUUGGGCGAGGGAGAUGGGGUGCGAUUUGGGGGGAUCACGCCUCGGAUUCUUGGGGUCGCCGGGAAUGCGGUGAUUGAAGGAGAAGACGGUGGAGGGAGAGAGGGAGGAAGGGAGGAGGAGGGGGAGGCUGCGAUGGGACACGUUGGGGAUGCCCACUGAACGUUGGUGUCCUUCUGAACACAAAUCCAUGGAGUGCCCAACCCGGAUUUCAAAGGGACUUGGCUGGUUCGAUACUACCAAUUCCUUGGGUGCUGAUUUUGAGGGGGGCUUCUAGAUUGAGAUCGAGUGAGAGGGGGUUGACGAGGAGAGAGCAGUCAGGUGGCGGUGGCGGUGGCGGCGGUGACUUGGAGCACAGUCCAGCGACGACGGCCGUUCGGGAGCAGUAGCGCGACGGCGGCUGUUCGGGAGUAGGAGUGAGAUAGCGGCUGGGCAUCGCGGGGUUCAGUGGUUGGAGAGGAUAAGGGGGACGGCAGCUGCACUCGGCACCAUGGGACACCCAACGUGGUUGGAGAGGAUAAGGUUGAUGGCUGAUUUCUUUGUUCGCCUUUGUUGUGGUCAAUGGUUUCGCAUCCUUCUUAAUCCCUUGCCAUGAGGCAAUAAAUCGCAAAAGAGCAGACACCACCCUAUGCUCCACCUUCCAUGUACAUGUAUUCUUCUUCGGACCCUGAACCGAAGGCUUCUUCCGGUCCUUAUCAAGGUACGGCUGAUAGGUGGUUUCACCGCGGAGCUCCCUCGCCGUCAGUACAGCGACGCUUGAUCGAUCGUGUCGCAGCUCAUCACCUUGCAUCGCCCUCCCACCACUGCUUCUCUCUGAUCUUGGUCAGAUGUUCUGGUUGAUGUGCAAGGAGAUGAGAGGGCAAGCUAGGGGAAUGGAAUUAGAGAGACGAUUGUAGAGCGGCAUCGUUGUUGUCCCUGUUGCUUUAUUCUUUUCUUACUCAAGUGGUUACUUUACCUUCAUCAGUCCAUCUUCACACUUUUGAUUGUCUCAGCUUAGCUUGCAGUUCCAGCUUAGAUUUGUCAGUUUUAUGGGUUAGCCAGAUUGUUCAAAUAUUUGUCGUCCAAUUUAUUUAUAAUCUAACUGUGCAAAUGUUUGGUUGAUUCACAAUUUUCUCAUCCUUUCACCGCUUGUGUUUAUCAGGUCUGGAGAUAUGAACCAAUCACCCUGAUACCUUUACUAGGCUGAUGCAUAUGGAGCUUGCAAUCAGAUCCAAAAUAUGGAGCUGUCUAACAAAAGCAGGGCACCAUUAUUGAUGGCAAGUCAAUUUCAGAGGACAUAAAGUUACAGAUUGCUGAACAAUUUCGCCGAAUGAAAAAGGCAGUUGCACAUGUUCCUGGAUUAGCUAUUGUAUUGGUAGGCGAUAGAAGGGACUCUCAAUCCCAUGUGGGAUUUAAACUGAAGGGUUGUGAGGAAGUUGGGAUAAAAUCUUUGUUGUCAGAGUUGCCUUAGAACUGCACAAAAGACAAGUGGUGGAUUCAGCAUCAAGAUUAAGUGGAGAUCUAUCUGUUCAUCGCAUCCUUGUGCCGCUACCACUACCACAAGUAAUGUAUUGUACUACCUCAUGCACUAAAGCAUCUUCCAUGCAAAAAAAACUUGGUUCUUUUUAAUUCUUUAGUGUUUUUUCUAAUUUACUUUUCACAGGGGUGCGAUGAGCCUGGGCUCAGAAAUGGAUAUUUGGAUGUAAUGGUCUUUGUUUUAGUAUUUUUUUUCCAGCCAAAAACUGUUGCCAAAAGUGGGAGACGGCUCAUAGUAGAAAUCAUCAGCUGUUGUUUGUUCAAAAAGCAUGAACUUAACUUCUGCAAGAACAAUUCAAUGUCAGACUGCAUUUUCAUUGUUUCAAACAGUUUA
Long non-coding RNA from Aegilops tauschii subsp. strangulata, 3308 nucleotides. RefSeq lists it as uncharacterized. The record is from RefSeq and is a predicted model, not a curated record. NCBI's taxonomy places the organism in Eukaryota, Viridiplantae, Streptophyta, Magnoliopsida, Poales, Poaceae.